UCCGUAGGCGGGCAAUUAAGUCAGAGGUGAAAUCCCACAGCUCAACUGUGGAACUGCCUUUGAUACUGGUUGUCUUGAGUUACAGUGAAGUAGAUAGAAUAUGUAGUGUAGCGGUGAAAUGCAUAGAUAUUACAUAGAAUACCGAUUGCGAAGGCAGUCUACUAACUGUAUACUGACGCUAAUGGACGGAAGCGUGGGGAGCGAACAGGAUUAGAUACCCUGGUAGUCC
RNAcentral lists this ribosomal RNA (229 nucleotides) under uncultured bacterium. RNAcentral describes it as "partial 16S ribosomal RNA". It matches the Rfam family "Bacterial small subunit ribosomal RNA", at positions 568 to 796 of the family's 1533-position model. The record is from RNAcentral.